This 577-nucleotide ribosomal RNA is filed under the name Sarocladium strictum. Its description in RNAcentral is "eukaryotic LSU rRNA". The record is from RNAcentral. Lineage: Eukaryota; Fungi; Ascomycota; Sordariomycetes; Hypocreales; Sarocladiaceae.
UUCCGUAGGGUGAACCUGCGGAGGGAUCAUUACCGAGUGUAAAAACUCCCAAACCAUUGUGAACUUACCACUGUUGCUUCGGCGGCCUCGCCCCGGGCGCGUUCGCGCGGCCCGGACCCAGGCGUCCGCCGGAGGCUCCAAACUCUUGUCUUUUAGUGUAUUUCUGAGUGGCAUAAGCAAAUAAAUCAAAACUUUCAGCAACGGAUCUCUUGGUUCUGGCAUCGAUGAAGAACGCAGCAAAAUGCGAUAAGUAAUGUGAAUUGCAGAAUUCAGUGAAUCAUCGAAUCUUUGAACGCACAUUGCGCCCGCCAGUAUUCUGGCGGGCAUGCCUGUCUGAGCGUCAUUUCAACCCUCAGGACCCGUUCGCGGGACCUGGCGUUGGGGAUCAGCCUGCCCCUGGCGGCGGCUGGCCCUGAAAUCCAGUGGCGGUUCCCUCGCGAACUCCUCCGUGCAGUAAUUAAACCUCUCGCGGCAGGAUAGCGGUUGAACCACGCCGUUAAACCCCCCACUUMUCAAGGUUGACCUCAGAUCAGKUASGAAUACCCGCUGAACUUAAGCAUAUCAAUAAGCGGAGGAA